UGGAGCAUGUGGCUUAAUUUGACUCAACGCGGGAAAUCUUACCAGGUCCAGACAUAUUGAGGAUUGACAGGUGAUCACUAAUAUAUUUUAUAUAUUAGUACAAAUAUGAUAGUCCUUUCAUGAUUAUAUGAUAGGUGGUGCAUGGCCGUUCUUAGUUCGUGGAGUGAUCUGUCUGCUUAAUUGCGUUUCAUAUAAUAUUAAAUAAUAUUAUUCAUUAUAUUAUUUUAAGUGUUCUGCCUUUUUAAGGAUUGUGAACCUUUUAUAAUAUAUGAUAAUAUUAUAUUUAAAUGAAUGCAACGAACGUGACUAUAACCUUUUAUUGCAAUAUUUUAUAUAAUAUAUAAUUUUUAUUAUAUGUUAUUAUAUUGCUUAAAAUUAAAGGAACCGCUGUCUAAUAUUUAGUUUUAAAACAGAGGAAGAUUAUGGCAAUAACAGGUCUGUGAUGC
This 446-nucleotide ribosomal RNA is filed under the name Quinqueloculina sp. Its description in RNAcentral is "SSU rRNA". It matches the Rfam family "Eukaryotic small subunit ribosomal RNA", at positions 1177 to 1470 of the family's 1831-position model. The record is from RNAcentral. Lineage: Eukaryota; Foraminifera; Miliolida; Miliolidae.